RNAcentral lists this unclassified non-coding RNA (328 nucleotides) under uncultured Chaetothyriales. RNAcentral's name for it is "sequence contains ITS1". The stretch from base 1 to 106 matches the Rfam family "5.8S ribosomal RNA", at positions 50 to 154 of the family's 154-position model. The record is from RNAcentral. Lineage: Eukaryota; Fungi; Ascomycota; Eurotiomycetes; Chaetothyriales.
GAAAUGCGAUAAGUAAUGCGAAUUGCAGAAUUUCAGUGAGUCAUCGAAUCUUUGAACGCACAUUGCGCCCUUCGGUAUCCCGAAGGGCAUGCCUGUUCGAGCGUCAUUAUCACCCCUCAAGCUCCCCGGCUUGGUGUUAGACGGUUUAGCCUUGGUGACGAGGCCCGUUUUAAAGUCAAUGACGGCGGCCUGUUCGACCCCCGGUACACCGAGCUUCUUAACUAAGCACGUAUCGGUUGAAGGGUAGGCAGGACCCGGUCUUCUUCCUUAACCGGAAACUCUUUCCAAGGUUGACCUCGAAUCAGGUAGGGAUACCCGCUGAACUUAA